RNAcentral lists this long non-coding RNA (317 nucleotides) under Capsella rubella. RNAcentral describes it as "long non-coding RNA (CRUB_LNC001408)". The record is from RNAcentral. Lineage: Eukaryota; Viridiplantae; Streptophyta; Magnoliopsida; Brassicales; Brassicaceae.
UUUUUAAUAAAAAUAAGUGGAGGGACGAUGGCUGCAUACGCCGAUGCAUCUGUCCUUAUGAGAAGGUUAACGCACGUGAGGUUUAUACAAACUGCGUACUGGAUCGCUUCUCGUCUCCCUUGGAACACGGUCACCCAUCAUUAAAAAAAUACUAAUUUGAUUACUAAUUGGUUUGAUUGUUAAUUGUUCAUGAUCAAUGAUCAAUGAUUUUUCAAUAAUUCAAUGUCAAUGUCUCCGUAACAUCCAAUACCGUUUUUUUAAAGUCAUCUCGUUACAAGUUUUCUUGCAAGGAUUCAGCCAAUGAUUCUAUAUGCUUA